UACGUAGGGGCCGAGCGUUGUCCGGAGUUAUUGGGCGUAAAGCGCGCGCAGGCGGCCUCGCGCGCCCGACGUGAAAGCCCCCGGCUUAACCGGGGAGGGUCGUUGGGGACGGCGGGGCUUGAGGGCGGGAGAGGUCGGUGGAAUUCCCGGUGUAGUGGUGAAAUGCGUAGAGAUCGGGAGGAACACCGGUGGCGAAGGCGGCCGACUGGGCCGACCCUGACGCUGAGGCGCGAAGGCGUGGGGAGCGAACGGG
RNAcentral lists this ribosomal RNA (253 nucleotides) under uncultured bacterium. RNAcentral's name for it is "partial 16S ribosomal RNA". It matches the Rfam family "Bacterial small subunit ribosomal RNA", at positions 524 to 776 of the family's 1533-position model. The record is from RNAcentral.